UCCACCGAUGUUCAUCAGAAACACCAGUUGUCUCCCCCUCUUCCGUCGUGCAACCAUAAACUCGGUUGAGUUUCAACUGGAAAACUCAACUGGAGUGAAUCCUAACCCGGAAUCCGGUCACCUUUCCCAAAUCAAAUUUUUACAAACACAAACCUUAUAUUAAAUCUCACCCUAAAACCAAAUCUAGACCUAAUAUCCAGUUCAAGUAUCAACAAUCAUUGGUAAUUCUAGCAAGUAAUGAACAAAGCUAAAAAGGGAGAGGAAUAUGCCGUUCGGAAGUUACCAGGGAGAAGAAUCCAUAAUUAUGUAAAUUCCGUGCUGAUGAUGAUAUGGAUCUUUGAUGGGGGCAUAUUAUCAUGAGUUGCUCGCAUGAAGAAGCUGCAGACCAUGUUGACCUAUUUAUUUUUUCUUUUUAUUUUUUAUUAUUUGUAUAAAAUAUGUAAUCAUGUAAUAACUUUCAUUUUAAUUUUUUUUGUCUUAUGUGUAAAAGCAUGUAACAUUGAAUUGAUUAAUAGAAUUCCAAUAUUCCAUCUUA
Molecule: long non-coding RNA, 535 nt
Organism: Lathyrus oleraceus (garden pea)
Lineage: Eukaryota; Viridiplantae; Streptophyta; Magnoliopsida; Fabales; Fabaceae
Exons: 2
Source: RefSeq, a predicted model, not a curated record